RNAcentral lists this microRNA precursor (52 nucleotides) under Sapajus apella (tufted capuchin). RNAcentral's name for it is "Cebus apella (Tufted capuchin) mir-1302 microRNA precursor family". It matches the Rfam family "mir-1302 microRNA precursor family". The record is from Rfam by way of RNAcentral. RNAcentral also lists the same sequence under 1 other name. Lineage: Eukaryota; Metazoa; Chordata; Mammalia; Primates; Cebidae.
UUUUUAGUAUAAAUAUGCUCCAUGUAAUAUUUGGGACAUACUUAUACUAAAA